This 495-nucleotide ribosomal RNA is filed under the name uncultured bacterium. Its description in RNAcentral is "partial 16S ribosomal RNA". It matches the Rfam family "Bacterial small subunit ribosomal RNA", at positions 28 to 505 of the family's 1533-position model. The record is from RNAcentral.
GAUGAACGCUGGCGGCGUGCCUAAUACAUGCAAGUCGAGCGAACAGACGAGAAGCUUGCUUUUCUGAUGUUAGCGGCGGACGGGUGAGUAACACGUGGAUAACCUACCUAUAAGACUGGGAUAACUUCGGGAAACCGGAGCUAAUACCGGAUAAUAUUUUGAACCGCAUGGUUCAAAAGUGAAAGACGGUCUUGCUGUCACUUAUAGAUGGAUCCGCGCUGCAUUAGCUAGUUGGUAAGGUAACGGCUUACCAAGGCAACGAUGCAUAGCCGACCUGAGAGGGUGAUCGGCCACACUGGAACUGAGACACGGUCCAGACUCCUACGGGAGGCAGCAGUAGGGAAUCUUCCGCAAUGGGCGAAAGCCUGACGGAGCAACGCCGCGUGAGUGAUGAAGGUCUUCGGAUCGUAAAACUCUGUUAUUAGGGAAGAACAUAUGUGUAAGUAACUGUGCACAUCUUGACGGUACCUAAUCAGAAAGCCACGGCUAACUACG